GCUGCUUUGCAAGAUCUAUGGUACAUCUAUAUCCUGAACAAGCAGGUGAUAUCGCUUAUCAAUGCAAACUGCUGUGGAUUAAUUUCACCCCUGAGGGAUAUCCAUGCAUAUUUUGGAGCAAAAGGUGCAUUUCAGUUUGCUCCUGGCACAAAGGUUGAACUGUGAAAAAUGAUGGGAGAUACUUACUCUCCUGGUUUAUGGGUUCAAGCUCAAAUGAAGAAGUGAGCAAAGUGAUUGCAGAUUUUAUAAAUAUCUGUGCACUACUGUCUAUUCCACACAGCUUGGAAUAGCAGGGCUUUUAACAGCAAUGCAAAGGCUAAAUGGCAUAGCUCAUGGCUUACAUGCAAGCUAUGGUAAAUAGAGCUCAAAGGAAUUCAUGAGCCCCAAGGUUCAAAAACUGAAAGUAUAUAUGUUCUGUCACUUUCUAACUUUCUAAGACCCAAUGAGGCUUUCAUUUGGGGUCGAGGUCUUGUUUAUAUGUUCACAGAUAAUGAAAACAUCUGGUCACCCACGUCAUGCUUCAUGCCAGCUGAUACAGACCAGGAAGAGAAGCAGACGGAAGGUGAUGGCAUCAGCUAUCUACAUGCCAGCCACAAUCCAGACUCGCUGGAAGGACACUUCUUUGGUGACUAAUAUCACUCUAGAACAAUGACAUUACACUAUUAGAGACAUUGGCUAUUAGGCCACUGAUGGACACUUGUCAUGCUGACAUCCAUUGAGAUGGGGUACCCAGAGCAACAUCAACUAUGCUAAUUCAGAAGGACUAAAUCACACUUGUGUCUGUACAAGACACCAGAUAUGUCCCACACUCCAAAGACUUUGUUAUGGGAUUGAGAGGAAAUAGCUACUAAUUGUCUAGCUACUAAAGUAUACCUUGUAUUUUGUAUAUGAUACUGUCAAAAGAAAUGUAUAUUGUAUGCAUUGUAAAUCCACCACUUGUAUUGUAAGAAAUACUGUUAUCAACAAGGGUAUAGACCUUGGUAUGACUCUCCAAAGAGUAGGAGAUAGAAAACUUUCAUUCAUAGGAUAGAUCUGAUAUUUCUGACAUCAAAAAUGAGGCGCUAAGCAGAAAAUGAUGCACAGACAGGUUAAUGGACAGGUGACACUGAUGUUACUCUCAAGAAAGGAUGAGAGAUCAGGGAAAAGACACUAGGAAAUCUUUAAUCAGGAACCUGAGUUAUUGUAAGAGAUCAUUGACAUCCAGGCAAAGAUUAUGUUCCUGACAUUACAUUAAGGGCUGACUACCAGAGAUGUAGUUAAGUGUUAAUACCAUUGUUAACCAUUACUCCUGAUACCCUGUCUUUGUGGGUAAUAUCUUAAUAGGAAAAAUGUCUUGCUCUCCUCCAACAAUCCCAGAAUUCAGACGGCCGCUGGAUUCGGGAUCUAUUGGCUUCCCUUUCAUAUACUGGAAGACGUUCUGGUAUAUGGAAGUAAGACCUCAUGAAAAACUGAGGGCUCUAGGUUUGACAAUUUCUGUGGACGCGCAGUCAUUGUCUCCAUGGCUCAUGGAGCAAGGGCAAAGUAUAAUCUAAGUUUUACUGUUUUGGAGUAUGGAUUGAAAACAUGACACAAUAGGCACAGAUAAGCUUGCAGAAAAAGCACAUUGAAUAUUAUUCACUGACAAUUAGGAAUGAAAAAGCUAUGUCAAAUGCUGUAGGUACAAGAAACUGUAGAAAUUGUUUCUACAUGGGAAACAACUUAAGCUUCUAUUUACCCAAACAUUGGUUUGGUGGAAAGAAUUUUGCAAAUAUUGGUAAUGGUAUAGGCUUGGUUAUCAUAUUGAUGGGUUUAUUUAUACAAGCAGAGAUUUAAAAUAAGGAAGACAUUAGGAAUAUGCAGUCAGAACUUGAAAUAUUACUUCAUUAUCACCAUCAUGGUUAUUUAAGCUACAAUUGAGAAUGUAAAAUGGAUGGGAAUAUUGGUAUUUGUUAAAAAUUGCACUGUGAUUGAUGUAUUGAUGUUUUUGCAAAGCCUGUAAUGGUGCAAAAUUAUGUUCAUAUACAAGGCGAAUUUUGAUCUAUUUA
Molecule: long non-coding RNA, 2024 nt
Organism: Monodelphis domestica (gray short-tailed opossum)
Lineage: Eukaryota; Metazoa; Chordata; Mammalia; Didelphimorphia; Didelphidae
Source: RefSeq, a predicted model, not a curated record